UGGGGAAUUUUGGACAAUGGGGGAAACCCUGAUCCAGCCCUCCCGCGUGUGCGAUGAAGGCCUUCGGGUUGUAAAGCACUUUUGGCAGGAAAGAAACGGCAUGGGUUAAUACCCCGUGAAACUGACGGUACCUGCAGAAUAAGCACCGGCUAACUACGUGCCAGCAGCCGCGGUAAUACGUAGGGUGCAAGCGUUAAUCGGAAUUACUGGGCGUAAAGCGUGCGCAGGCGGUUCGGAAAGAAAGAUGUGAAAUCCCAGAGCUCAACUUUGGAACUGCAUUUUUAACUACCGGGCUAGAGUGUGUCAGAGGGAGGUGGAAUUCCGCGUGUAGCAGUGAAAUGCGUAGAUAUGCGGAGGAACACCGAUGGCGAAGGCAGCCUCCUGGGAUAACACUGACGCUCAUGCACGAAAGCGUGGGGAGCAAACAGG
This 429-nucleotide ribosomal RNA is filed under the name Acidobacteriota bacterium. RNAcentral's name for it is "Acidobacteria bacterium partial 16S ribosomal RNA". It matches the Rfam family "Bacterial small subunit ribosomal RNA", at positions 355 to 776 of the family's 1533-position model. Lineage: Bacteria; Pseudomonadati; Acidobacteriota. The record is from RNAcentral.